Molecule: non-coding RNA, 141 nt
Filed under: Williamsia sp.
Lineage: Bacteria; Bacillati; Actinomycetota; Actinomycetes; Mycobacteriales; Nocardiaceae
Also listed under: 1 other name
Source: RNAcentral
UAAAACGCAGCGGAAUACAGUCACUGCGGACCAGGUGAACGGGAAAUCCGGUGUGAAUCCGGAACGGUCGCGCCACUGUGAGUUCCGUCGGGCUCUGCCCGGUGGGCGAGUCAGGGCUCCGGCACUUGGUGACACACACAC